GAGGCAGCAGCGGGGAAUAUUGCACAAUGGGCGCAAGCCUGAUGCAGCCAUGCCGCGUGUGUGAAGAAGGCCUUCGGGUUGUAAAGCACUUUCAGCGGGGAGGAAGGCGAUAAGGUUAAUAACCUUGGCGAUUGACGUUACCCGCAGAAGAAGCACCGGCUAACUCCGUGCCAGCAGCCGCGGUAAUACGGAGGGUGCAAGCGUUAAUCGGAAUUACUGGGCGUAAAGCGCACGCAG
RNAcentral lists this ribosomal RNA (237 nucleotides) under Klebsiella pneumoniae. RNAcentral's name for it is "partial 16S ribosomal RNA". It matches the Rfam family "Bacterial small subunit ribosomal RNA", at positions 345 to 574 of the family's 1533-position model. Lineage: Bacteria; Pseudomonadati; Pseudomonadota; Gammaproteobacteria; Enterobacterales; Enterobacteriaceae. The record is from RNAcentral.